AUUGAACGCUGGCGGCAUGCUUUACACAUGCAAGUCGAACGGCAGCACAGAGAAGCUUGCUUCUUGGGUGGCGAGUGGCGAACGGGUGAGUAACAUAUCGGAACGUACCGAGUAAUGGGGGAUAACUAAUCGAAAGAUUAGCUAAUACCGCAUAUUCUCUGAGGAGGAAAGCAGGGGACCUUCGGGCCUUGCGUUAUUCGAGCGGCCGAUAUCUGAUUAGCUAGUUGGUGGGGUAAAGGCCUACCAAGGCGACGAUCAGUAGCGGGUCUGAGAGGAUGAUCCGCCACACUGGGACUGAGACACGGCCCAGACUCCUACGGGAGGCAGCAGUGGGGAAUUUUGGACAAUGGGCGCAAGCCUGAUCCAGCCAUGCCGCGUGUCUGAAGAAGGCCUUCGGGUUGUAAAGGACUUUUGUCAGGGAAGAAAAGGCUGUUGCUAAUAUCAAUAGCUGAUGACGGUACCUGAAGAAUAAGCACCGGCUAACUACGUGCCAGCAGCCGCGGUAAUACGUAGGGUGCGAGCGUUAAUCGGAAUUACUGGGCGUAAAGCGAGCGCAGACGGUUACUUAAGCAGGAUGUGAAAUCCCCGGGCUCAACCUGGGAACUGCGUUCUGAACUGGGUGACUAGAGUGUGUCAGAGGGAGGUAGAAUUCCACGUGUAGCAGUGAAAUGCGUAGAGAUGUGGAGGAAUACCGAUGGCGAAGGCAGCCUCCUGGGAUAACACUGACGUUCAUGCUCGAAAGCGUGGGUAGCAAACAGG
RNAcentral lists this ribosomal RNA (759 nucleotides) under Neisseria subflava. Its description in RNAcentral is "bacterial SSU rRNA". It matches the Rfam family "Bacterial small subunit ribosomal RNA", at positions 28 to 776 of the family's 1533-position model. Lineage: Bacteria; Pseudomonadati; Pseudomonadota; Betaproteobacteria; Neisseriales; Neisseriaceae. The record is from RNAcentral.